RNAcentral lists this ribosomal RNA (414 nucleotides) under uncultured microorganism. Its description in RNAcentral is "bacterial SSU rRNA". It matches the Rfam family "Archaeal small subunit ribosomal RNA", at positions 459 to 872 of the family's 1478-position model. The record is from RNAcentral.
CAGCCGCCGCGGUAAUACCGGCGGCCCGAGUGGCGGCCACUAUUAAUGGGCCUAAAGCGUCCGUAGCCGGGCUGGUAAGUCCCCCGGGAAAUCUGGCGGCUUAACCGUCAGAAUUCCGGGGGAUACUGCCAGCCUAGGGACCGGGAGAGGCCGGGGGGAUUCCCGGGGUAGGGGUGAAAUCCUAUAAUCCCGGGAGGACCACCUGUGGCGAAGGCGCUCGGCUGGAACGCGUCCGACGGUGAGGGACGAAGGCCAGGGGAGCAAACCGGAUUAGAUACCCGGGUAGUCCUGGCUGUAAACGAUGCGGACUUUGUGUCGGACAAGCUAUGAGCUUGUCCGGUGCCGGAGGGAAACCGUUAAGUCCGCCGCCUGGGGAGUACGGCCGCAAGGCUGAAACUUAAAGGAAUUGGCGGG